This 492-nucleotide long non-coding RNA is filed under the name Crocodylus porosus (Australian saltwater crocodile). RNAcentral's name for it is "lncRNA (ENSCPRG00005005738.1)". The record is from RNAcentral. Lineage: Eukaryota; Metazoa; Chordata; Crocodylia; Crocodylidae.
UCCACCUCUGUCUUUAGAUGAGUGGCAAUAACGAUAUACUUCAUAAAGUGCAAACAAAUGAAGAUGGAAGAAAUGGAAGCAACAUAUUGCAAAGGAGGCUGCAAGAUGCGCCCAGUCUUCCCCAGACUACAAAAUGUCCCACUGAGACAAGCCUGUCAAAGGACAAUGUAGACUAUUCUGCCUAUGUGUGUGUGGGUGCCUUGAAUGCAGAUGAAGAAAUGGUGGCCUUGAGCCAAAGGCUGAAACCCAUGCAGUCGUUGGACGUUUAUGAUGAUGUAGAAGGACUGGAGAGGGGAAUUGGCCAAGGCUCUGGUGCUUGUAACUCCUUCACUUCUGACAGUUUUUCAGAAGACAACUAUGAAGAAACAUAUGAAGAUGUUCAGAAUGGGGAUGAUAUGCCAACCAAACUGGAGUGAGUUUUCAUUUAAUUGCCUUUAUUUCAUAGCAGCUGAAUGUACUUCUCUUGCUGUGGCUACUGGCUGGAAGUGGAUU